GGUUAUUAGCUGAGUGAUAAUUUCCAGAGCGUUCAGUUGUCUCGAACACCAACAGGUGUUAAAAACGUGUUUGAAAACGUACAGCGGUUUGCGAAAGACUAAGCGAGAAAAUAUAAUUUACAGCACUCCUAUAUUUGUGGAU
Molecule: long non-coding RNA, 142 nt
Organism: Rhagoletis pomonella (apple maggot)
Lineage: Eukaryota; Metazoa; Arthropoda; Insecta; Diptera; Tephritidae
Exons: 2
Source: RefSeq, a predicted model, not a curated record